CGUGGACGGUUCCCACAAUGCUUGGCGGGAGGUUGUUGUUAACUCUGUUGGCAAUGUCUAUGAUUUUGUCUGCCUCUGUGGUCCGUGUAAGGGAUGGACUCCCAUUGUCUGCAUCUACCGAUUAUGAGCAGAGCACAGGAAUGCAAGAAUGUAGAAAAUAUUUUAAAAUGCUCUCAAAGAAACUUUCGCAGCUUCCUGAUAGAUGUACCCUGAAAACUGGGCAUUAUAAUAUAAACUUUAUCAGUUCUCUGGGAGUAAGCUAUAUGAUGUUGUGCACUGAAAAUUAUCCCAGUGUCCUGGCUUUCUGCUUCCUGGAUGAGCUUCAGAAAGAGUUCAUCACUACCUAUAAUAUGAUGAAGACAAAUACUGCUGUCAGACCAUACUGUUUUAUAGAAUUUGAUAAUUUCAUUCAAAGGACCAAACAGAGAUAUAACAACACACGUUCUUUAUCAACAAAGAUGAAUCUUGCUGACAUGCAGACAGAAAUCAAACUGAGACCGCCGUAUCAAAUUUCUGUGUCAGAACUUGGUUCAGCUAAUGGGUUCUCACAUUUAUCCAUGGCAGAAUACAAGGGUACUGGUAAGAUAUCGGCAGCUCCUCAUCAGCGUCUGGAACCUGUGACUCUGCCAGGGAUUGUCUCAUUUGUGCUUAGUCUGUUAUGUGGGGCUUUGAAUUUAAUUCGUGGCUUUCAUGCCAUAGAAAGUCUUCUCCAGAAUGAAGGUGAAGAUUUCAGCUAUGUUAUUGCAUUUUUUCUUGGAACAGCAGCCUGUUUGUACCAGUGUUACCUGUUUGUGUACUACACAGGCUGGAGGAACGCCAAAUCCUUCCUGACUUUUGGGUUAAUUUGCCUGUGUAACAUGUAUCUGUAUGAACUGCGCAACUUGUGGCAGCUCUUCUUUCAUGUGACUGUAGGAGCAUUUUCUACCUUACAAAUUCGGCUGCGACAACCACAGGGAAAGUCCCCUGAUUACAAUGUCUGACAAGUCCUGCAACAUUUAGAGGCAGUCUUGUUCCAACAGUUAUUCACUCUCAGGAAUGUAACGCUGUUCUCCAAAAGAAGAAGCUGUCUGGACGGGGCUUUGGCUUUUUUUGUUUUAAGAGGGAAACAAAGGAAUACAGGACUAGAGGGGGAAAAUGGAUCAUAUCCAUGCAGUGAAAUGCAUGUAGGGGCACCAAAAUUGGGGAAUUUGACUGGUGGCAUAAAAAAGCUCCGUUUGAAAGUAUGUUAAUGGAAGAAAUAUACAGAGUUAUGUCUUCUGCAUAUCGUGCAAGCUCUUCACUUCCAAAAUCAGUUUUGCCUUUGUGAGGCAGUAGGGAAUAGGCUAAAUAAUAAUAAUAAUAAUGCUAUUGCAUAUUAGUGAACUAGAUUUGGAAUAUGUAAGAUAUUAAAUUUUGGAAUGUUUUGUUUCGCAUUGACAUGAACGUGAAUGUUUUCUUAAUUAAAAUGUAUCCUGGAAACUCUGUUUCUGGGAAUCAGCUUUAUGGCACCUGUGGCCCUCUGUCUAGUGCUAUAAAUACUUUAACUUUUUUUCAUUUAUGAUUUCCUUUUAAUUAUCCUUUGAAAGUGAUCUAUGUGGAGAGGGUUUCUUUUUAGUAAUUAUUCAAAAAGUUCUGCCAUUUAACCCAGGAUUUUUGCACGCUGCUUCUGUUCGAACUCUGGAGAGGUUGAAAGGAAAUGGAUUGACAGAGAAGAAGAAUGCAUUCUUGAACAUGGUCUGCUUUUGGUUUGGGAAUCCAGAAGACGGGGAAAAGAUGAAGAGGAGGAGUGGAUGAAUUUGAGGAAACGUUUACACCACAAAUAUUUUAAAAAUCCAGAAGAACAGAAAAUAGCUUUUGUUUAGCACGGAGAAGUUUGCUUGUAUUAGCAUUCAGUGCACCUUUCUGAACUCUGGACACCAGAAAAGGUGAAAAGCUGUCCUUUAUCCUUUUUAGUCAAUGAUUGAAAAAUAUAGCUAUUUGUGUUUUAAGUAUAGAACAAGGUUUUAUCUUGCUAAUAAAAUCUAGAAGAGUCCUUAUACCUACCUUUUCACUUCACGUCCACUGAUAGGCAGGGAAGCUAUUACGAAUGCCUGAAGUAUUGCUUAGUUUUUAACUCGGGCUCUUGUGCACAUGAAGAAUUUUCUGUUGUAUCAUCAGUUUAUAUGUUGUCAGAGAAUCUUGUUUUCUCUGAGACUCCUUCCCUUCCCGCUAUUCCUAAAGAUGAAUUUUUAAGGAAUGAAAACUUCCUUUGUCAUAGCAUCUGGAGCCAUUAUUCUGUUCCAGUUAUGCUGGUGUUAAAUUGCUGAUUAGCAGGUAUAAUGAACAAACGCAACUGUCGGUGUAAUAGAAGACAGUUGGGGUUUUGUUUGCUUGUUUUUACGGCACUGAUAAAAAUUCCAUUUCACAAUGAGAAGUUAAUGAGCAUGGCUGUUCUUCGUUACCUGAUAUUACUAGGUGCUAAAAACACAGCUUUUGAACCUAUUACUUUAGUUUGACUACAAUAUUAGUACUUGCUGAAAUUUUGUGUGAGGUGACGGUUGGACUUGGUGAUCUUGAAGCUCUUUUCCAACGUAAACGAUUCUAUGAUUCUAUGAGAAACAAGACACACCAGGCCAAGUUGGCAGUGAAAAUUUACUGAAAAUUCCCAGGAUUUGCCAUUUGCUUGUACAAACUCAGCAUUCAGAGAAACAGUAGGUGCUUCCCUGCUGAUUUUGCCAGACACUUGAGCUGUGGACUUAGGAAAAUGAGCUUACGAAAGAUGAUUACUCUCUUGAACAACAUGUGUUAUUUUAGUUUGAAUUGCACAAGGCCAUUCAUAGCCGCUUGGUUUUUUUUUGGUGCGAUUUAGUAGAAGCAGAGCCCACUUCAUGCUGUGUUUAUAAAGUAAGCCCUCUUUAAGGUUGGAAUUGGUCCAUCCAACACCCACAAUACCAUAUUUUUCUUUGAAUAAAAGUGUUGCUGUUUACAUUCGCAAACAGGAAGGGAUGGCCAAAAGUUUGACUGACUUCCACAAGGUAUAUAUCAGGCUGUUUGAGGUUUGGUCACCUCAGAGUCCCCUGUUUGAGCUUCUAGAGAUGUAACCACAUUCUUCCUUGCGUAUUUUUCCUUAAUAUCUGAGGUUUUUCAUAGUGGUCUGCUAUCUUGUAUUUGAUAUCUGGGCCAAUAGCUGGGCAUAGAACUUGUUUCAUUUGUGAAUUGUCAGAUUUUGCUAGAAAAUAACUUUUCAGAUCCUGGAAAAUGGUUAGACCCUUUCGUAUUUCACAGUGCUUCAUGGACGGCUGACACACAUACAUAAGUAUAAGAUAUAUAAGAAUAUAUCUAGAGAGAAAGGGAGAGAGAGGUGUAGAAAAGAAUGCAGCCUUCUACUAGGGGAAUGUAUGUAUGUGUUAUUUGGAUUGAUUUUUAGUUAUAUUGAAGCUAUCGGAGAACUAGAAGAUGAUGGAAACUAGUUUCCUUUGCAGACAUCAUGGUUGCUUAACAUUCACUGUGGAUUCUUUAAUAAAUUGAUAGCUUCUUUAUCAAAGGACUGAGGAACACCUGUUUAGGGUUAUUACCUUUCAGCCUCCUGCCUUUCAUUCCCCAUCUCCAUUGCAAGUAGUGUGAUAUGAUUGGUUUUGCUUUUGUGGUUUGUAUUGGAAAAAAGAAGCCCAUUAACGUUUGCAAACACUAAACAUAUGCUAUUUGGAUCAGCUUUUUGUCAGAAUAAAUAGCAUUCUAGAUACAUGUUACGGCUUGCAAAAAUCCAUGCUUCCUGAAUGGUGUCAAUACAAAGGGAUGUAUUACAGGAGGGUUUUUUCCCUGAUUGGAGGUAAUUGAGGAGAAGGGUAGCGGUAGGGAGUCUGCUUCAGUGGCAGUGGCAGGCCUCUGUUGACAAGAAUCCAGCUGAUCUCUCACCAGGGGUCUCAGGACGCCUGGAGCACCCGGCUUUGUCAAAUACUCCAGGUACCCAUUUACUCUGGUAAGGCCAAAUGAUCUCCCAGUGUCUGUACCAGUUUCCUUUACUUAACAAAAUUAUCAUUCAUCAGUUUCAUCGAUCAAAUUGUUUGCCAAUUAACUUUAUGGAGCGCUUUUGUCAAUUGGUACACCUUCAUGUGCCAUCCUGGCUUUACAGAGCUAUCCAAAAGUUGUUCAGACCUCUUGGAGCAUUUACGGAGUCUUUGUUUUCCUGAAUAACAUUUCUUUCUUCCUCAGAGGCAAAGCUUCCUGAGACAGGUAGGUGACAAGUAUGCGUUCAGAAAGUUUGAGGUAUGUUCAGCAGGUACCUGGCUCCUGCACAGCCGUGACCUGGGCAUCUGGCUCAGCUUGCACUAGGAACGUGGGAGUGACACUGUAGGUUUAGCCCACUAACCUGCAUACUGAGCUGAGCUUAAGAAUGUGCCCUAGUUGUCGAGAACCACACAAAGCGUGAAAGCCAAUGAGAACGCGCUCCAUCUCUCAUUCUGAAGCUGCUGCAGGAAUGCCAUGAGAAGAGAAGGCAAGAGAGAAGGACAUUAUUGGCUGGGUGUUUCUGUACUCACCUAGCUAAGGAGGCCGGGUGUCUGCUUUCAGCAUGUCCUUAAAUAAUGUGACAUUAAAUAAUUCCAAAGGCACGGCCUUUGGAAUUGUCUUCUCCCUACCGUUUUCAGGACACAAUCUGCGUCGCUUUGGUUCUUCAGGCAACUUAUUAUGAGCCCUUUUUCUUAGCAGGAGGUGUGUAGCAUCAAGAAGCUGCUCUGGGUCCCUUUCUUUUGGUCUCUCGCCAUCCCCCAGGCAUGGCUAUGGUGGGAUGCUGUGCGCCUCGCUGAGCAGGUGAAAAAGAGAGGUAGGAUCUCCAUUAGCCUGUAUUUUGUUUCAGACCAAAUGGCAACAGUCACUUGAAGGACAGGAGAGCAUCAAGCAUACCUGAGUGGUGAGAGCAGGCGGUUCUGGGAUGUUACUCCCCAGUGAAGGAAGGAUUGAAACCAUGGUCACAAUGGCACAGCAGGGUAACAGCUUCAUCCUGGGUUUGGUGGGACUCAAGGUAUGCAAUGCCAGACCAGGUAAAGGAACAGAAUAACAUUUGUCUGCCACGUAAUAGGUGUUUUAUGGCUCCUGCUGGAACUUGUGCACCACACAAGAAGUUGUUUGCCAUUAGGUGGGGAGGGCUCCUCUGGAGCCUUUCAUCGGCACCCUUGUAGCGAGGAGGAGCAGCAGUGUGUGUGGCAGGGGCUUGUGUUAUUGC
Molecule: RNA transcript, 5179 nt
Organism: Chroicocephalus ridibundus (black-headed gull)
Lineage: Eukaryota; Metazoa; Chordata; Aves; Charadriiformes; Laridae
Gene: SEC22A
Gene name: SEC22 homolog A, vesicle trafficking protein
Exons: 8
Source: RefSeq, a predicted model, not a curated record